UGAGGGCCCCUCUGCGUGUUCACAGCGGACCUUGAUUUAAUGUCUAUACAAUUAAGGCACGCGGUGAAUGCCAAGAGAGGCGCCUCC
Bos indicus x Bos taurus (hybrid cattle) is the source of this 87-nucleotide microRNA precursor. Ensembl annotates it as microRNA 124-3. Its record names the gene MIR124-3. The record is from Ensembl. Lineage: Eukaryota; Metazoa; Chordata; Mammalia; Artiodactyla; Bovidae.